Molecule: transfer RNA, 73 nt
Filed under: Salmo salar (Atlantic salmon)
Lineage: Eukaryota; Metazoa; Chordata; Actinopteri; Salmoniformes; Salmonidae
Rfam family: tRNA
About the family: Transfer RNA (tRNA) molecules are approximately 80 nucleotides in length. Their secondary structure includes four short double-helical elements and three loops (D, anti-codon, and T loops).
Source: Rfam by way of RNAcentral
UCCCGUGUGGCUCAGUUGGUAGAGCAUGGUGUUUGCAACGCCAGGGUUGUGGGUUCAAUUCCCACGGGGGGAC